ACUGCGCGGAGAUGAAGGAAGGAACUUGAAGAUAACCGUCACCGCCAUCUGCUGGACUGGAGACCACGACGACAAAUGUUUCAGCUAAUAAAACUUGACUUCUUGACGAACGUUUGUGGAAUGGAUACAAUAAAAGCACUUUUCUUAGAGGUCUUAACAGUGAUGUGCUGGACAGGAUUCAGCAAUUAGUUUAGUGUAAUGUUACGUGGGGACAAAGCAUUUCAAAUUGGUGGUAUCAUUCUAAAGAAAUCCACGAGGUGCUUUUGAUUUCUGGUCAGAUGGCUUCGAUGGAAAGCUCGGAUCCUGUUUAUACAGACAGGCAAAUCAACACUUUGUUUGGAGAGAGAAUGGAACGAAAAGUUAAUACACUGUUGCGGCGAAGAUUGUUGUCGCUCAUCCAGUAUGAAGAAAGCCAGUUCAUACACCCAUCCACAUGCAGUCUCAGGCUGUCCGUGGCGACGGUAAGCAUGCUCAUUUAAUUUUAAUUUACUCAACCCCCGCCCUCCUCCAAAAAAAUACAGACGUUUAUACAAAAACUCUACUUUAAUGUCUUAAAAACCUACAUUCAAACCACGAUGCAGUGCUGUACCUGGACCCCGUUUAAAAAAAUAAACCAUUCCACGGAUCUUAGGACAUUCCUGGCCCCUGUUACACAGUUCAGCCUCAAU
This 668-nucleotide long non-coding RNA is filed under the name Danio rerio (zebrafish). RNAcentral's name for it is "si:dkey-242e21.5 (ENSDARG00000097565.2)". The record is from RNAcentral. Lineage: Eukaryota; Metazoa; Chordata; Actinopteri; Cypriniformes; Danionidae.